Molecule: ribosomal RNA, 497 nt
Filed under: uncultured bacterium
Lineage: Bacteria
Description: partial 16S ribosomal RNA
Rfam family: Bacterial small subunit ribosomal RNA
Source: RNAcentral
GAUGAACGCUGGCGGCGUGCCUAAUACAUGCAAGUCGAGCGAACAGACGAGGAGCUUGCUCCUCUGACGUUUGCGGCGGACGGGUGAGUAACAUGUGGAUAACCUACCUAUAAGACUGGGAUAACUUCGGGAAACCGGAGCUAAUACCGGAUAAUAUAUUGAACCGCAUGGUUCAAUAGUGAAAGACGGUUUUGCUGUCACUUAUAGAUGGAUCCGCGCCGCAUUAGCUAGUUGGUAAGGUAACGGCUUACCAAGGCAACGAUGCGUAGCCGACCGGAGAGGGUGAUAGGCCACACGGGAACGGAGCCACGGACCAGACUCCUACGGGAGGCAGCAGUAGGGAAUCGUCGGCAAUGGGCGAAAGCCUUACGGAGCAACGCCGCGUGAGUGAUGAAGGUCUUCGGAUCGUAAAACUCUGUUAUGAGGGAAGAACAAAUUUGUAAGUAACUAUGCACGUCUUGAUGGUACCUGAUCAGAAAGCCACGGCUAACUACGUG